RNAcentral lists this ribosomal RNA (465 nucleotides) under uncultured bacterium. RNAcentral's name for it is "partial 16S ribosomal RNA". It matches the Rfam family "Bacterial small subunit ribosomal RNA", at positions 338 to 795 of the family's 1533-position model. The record is from RNAcentral.
CCUACGGGAGGCAGCAGUGGGGAAUAUUGCACAAUGGGCGCAAGCCUGAUGCAGCCAUGCCGCGUGUGUGAAGAAGGCCUUCGGGUUGUAAAGCACUUUCAGCGGGGAGGAAGGCGAUAAGGUUAAUAACCUUGUCGAUUGACGUUACCCGCAGAAGAAGCACCGGCUAACUCCGUGCCAGCAGCCGCGGUAAUACGGAGGGUGCAAGCGUUAAUCGGAAUUACUGGGCGUAAAGCGCACACAGGCGGUCUGUCAAGUCGGAUGUGAAAUCCCCGGGCUCAACCUGGGAACUGCAUUCGAAACUGGCAGGCUAGAGGCUUGUAGAGGGGGGUAGAAUUCCAGGUGUAGCGGUGAAAUGCGUAGAGAUCUGGAGGAAUACCGGUGGCGAAGGCGGCCUGCUGGACUGCAACUGACGUUGAGGCCCGAAAGCGUGGGGAGCAAACAGGAUUAGAUACCCUUGUAGUC